Molecule: ribosomal RNA, 511 nt
Filed under: uncultured Glomus
Lineage: Eukaryota; Fungi; Glomeromycota; Glomeromycetes; Glomerales; Glomeraceae
Description: SSU rRNA
Rfam family: Eukaryotic small subunit ribosomal RNA
Source: RNAcentral
UGGGAGGGCAAGUCUGGUGCCAGCAGCCGCGGUAAUUCCAGCUCCAAUAGCGUAUAUUAAAGUUGUUGCAGUUAAAAAGCUCGUAGUUGAAUUUCGGGGUUAGUAGAUUGGUCAUGCCUCUGGUAUGUACUGGUCUCACUGAUUCCUCCUUCCUGAUGAACCUUAAUGCCAUUAAUUUGGUGUUUUGGGGAAUUUGGACUGUUACUUUGAAAAAAUUAGAGUGUUUAAAGCAAGCUAACGCUUGAAUACAUUAGCAUGGAAUAAUGAAAUAGGACGUUCGAUCCUAUUUUGUUGGUUUCUAGGAUUGACGUAAUGAUUAAUAGGGAUAGUUGGGGGCAUCAGUAUUCAAUUGUCAGAGGUGAAAUUCUUGGAUUUAUUGAAGACUAACUACUGCGAAAGCAUUUGCCAAGGAUGUUUUCAUUAAUCAAGAACGAAAGUUAGGGGAUCGAAGACGAUCAGAUACCGUCGUAGUCUUAACCAUAAACUAUGCCGACUAGGGAUCGGAUGAUGU